AUGAACGCUGGCGGCGUGCCUAAUACAUGCAAGUCGAGCGCACGGACGAGAAGCUUGCUUCUCUGAUGUUAGCGGCGGACGGGUGAGUAACACGUGGAUAACCUACCUAUAAGACUGGGAUAACUUCGGGAAACCGGAGCUAAUACCGGAUAAUAUUUUGAACCGCAUGGUUCAAAAGUGAAAGACGGUCUUGCUGUCACUUAUAGAUGGAUCCGCGCUGCAUUAGCUAGUUGGUAAGGUAACGGCUUACCAAGGCAACGAUGCAUAGCCGACCUGAGAGGGUGAUCGGCCACACGGGAACUGAGACACGGUCCAGACUCCUACGGGAGGCAGCAGUAGGGAAUCUUCCGCAAUGGGCGAAAGCCUGACGGAGCAACGCCGCGUGAGUGAUGAAGGUCUUCGGAUCGUAAAACUCUGUUAUUAGGGAAGAACAUAUGUGUAAGUAACUGUGCACAUCUUGACGGUACCUAAUCAGAAAGCCACGGCUAACUACGUG
This 496-nucleotide ribosomal RNA is filed under the name uncultured bacterium. Its description in RNAcentral is "partial 16S ribosomal RNA". It matches the Rfam family "Bacterial small subunit ribosomal RNA", at positions 29 to 507 of the family's 1533-position model. The record is from RNAcentral.